This 441-nucleotide ribosomal RNA is filed under the name Jesogammarus paucisetulosus. RNAcentral describes it as "partial 16S ribosomal RNA". It matches the Rfam family "Bacterial large subunit ribosomal RNA", at positions 1945 to 2619 of the family's 2925-position model. The record is from RNAcentral. Lineage: Eukaryota; Metazoa; Arthropoda; Malacostraca; Amphipoda; Anisogammaridae.
CCUGUGCUAAGGUAGCAUAAUCAUUUGGUUUUUAAUAGGGGUCUGGAAUGAAAGGUCAAACAAGUAUUAGUUUCUUAUUUUUAAAGAGUGAAUUUAAGAUUGAAGUAAAAACGCUUAAAUUUUUCGUGGGACGAUAAGACCCUAAAAGCUUUAUUUUAGGUAUUAUAGUAUUUUUAGUGUGUAGUACAUUUUAAAAUUGGUUGGGGUAACAGCUUUAAAUGUAUUAGAGUGCAGGUUUAUAGUAUAGUUAGAUAAAUAUCCUUAUUAUUAGGAGAGCAAUUGAAGUUACUUUAGGGGUAACAGGGUAAUUAUUUUAUAGAGCUCGUAUCGAUAGAAUAGGUUGCUACCUCGAUGUUGAAUUAAAAUAUCGGCGUGAUGGAAAAGGUUCGUUUGAGGGUUUGUUCAACCUUUAAUUUUUUACAUGAUCUGAGUCAAACCGGA